AUGUGUGUGUGGGUGUGAAGAUGUUCGAUUACGAUUACAAGUUGAGACACCUGUCGUCUCUUUUCUUUCCUUGUAAUGUUUUGGUCUCUCCUCCUCCUCAAAACCCAACUUCUGAUAACUAAAAUUUUCAUUGGAUAGCAAUUCAUUUCUCUGUAUUUCCGUAAUUAAUUAAUAAGUUUCGAUUAUAUAGCUAGGGUUGAUGUGAGAUUUGUAUAUCUAGAUGGAUCUAUUUCUAUGUUGGUUUUGAGAGGCUGAAGCUGCCAGCAUGAUCUGGUAAUCGCUACAUACGACAUAUAUACAUAUACAUACUAAUUUAAUUUACACAUGUAUCAAUGUAUCCAGGGCCGGCUGAGGCGCAGGUACAAGGGGGCGUGGACCCAGGGUCCAAAUUUUUUUUUUCAUAAUUAGUGUUAAAAUGGAGCUUGAUUUUCAAAAAAAAAAAAUUUAAAAGAGUCCAAAAUUUUUAAUUUAUUUAUAGAGUAUAUGUAAAACUUUUUUUUUGAAAAAUUAUUUUGUCCAAGGGCCUAUAAUUUACAUGAGCUGGCCCUGGAUGUAUCUCUCAAAUUAAUAUAAUCUUAGUGUUAAAAAUGUGUUUUCUCCUCUUUUUCAUGGAUGCAUGCAUGUAUGUGUGUGUAUAAGUGUAUAGAUAGUGGUACCAGAUCAUCCUGCGGCUUCAUUCACUCAAAUCACCAACAAUGAACUUAAGCUUCUUAAGAAAAACGAUUCCAGCUGUCGACUUUUACGACUUCCCUCUGUUAUCACUGGAGGUAACAAUACAUUUGCUUAUCUCUUUCUACUUCCUUAUAAAUCCAAUCAUUCAUUCUUCUUUUCUUUUCUUUUAUUUUUGGACGAGCGUCUUCAAUCAUUCAUGCUUGUUGUAUUACAUCUUAGUUCUGGAAACUAUACGCAUAUAUGUAUCUAAUUUUAUAUGAUAUAUAUAAUUACAUAUAUACAAUGACGCAAACAGUCAUAUAUGAUUUAGUUACUGUUUAUAUAUAUGACCAUGUCCACAAGCUCACGUUUGUUGGUAGGAACGCGUUUACAUGUGACUGUGUUUGCCAAGACCUAUGUCAAGCUUUAUAAUUUUAUAUUCAUAUAAUAUAUCUAGUGAUAAUAAAGAAGAAGGUGUAUUAGUUUGGUGAAAAGACGCAUUAGUAUCCAUCUUAUUAGUAAUUUUAAUGAUUCCAGAAUCAGAAAAAUAUGAAUGUCAAACUUUUAAUUUUUAAGAAGUAAAAAACAAAAUAUUGUUUUGAUUCUAACUUAACAAUGUUUAAAACAUUGGCAAUUAAGUGUUUAUUGUUUAUCCAACACGUAAGAUGGUUGCACUGACUCUUAUCAUGUCUUAUUAUUCAACACGUUACUACUUACUACAAACAACUCAAAUAAUAGAAAAGUUUGCUACAAUAUUUUGAUUUAAGCGUUGUGUUUGCUAUGCAAUGAGAACUAAUAGAGCAAACUUGCUUGGACGCAUUAAGCUGGAGCUUAUUUUGAAAUACAAGUUUGGGUCUUAAAGUCCCCCAUCUAAUAAGAUAGAAACGAUCAUUAUCCUUGGUUUCAGAAACACCUAAGAACAGUCUUGCAGACUAUUACUGUUUUAUUUUUUCUUGUUUGGCACUUGGAAGAUCUUUAUUGUAUAUUGACUAAGGAUCAAGCCUUCUAUAGUAUAGUUUGUGACAUAAGUAACCAGUGGUUGGUGUAGAUUCUCUGCGUUGAUCAGCACGAGAAAAAACUCGCCAACUCCAGCCUUUAUUUCCAAGAUCUUUCAUUUGGAACUGGAGAACACAUGACCCAUGGAUUGUAUUAAGAUCAUGCAUAUUAUUUUUCCUUAAUUAUACUUGCAUCCUUUAUGUCUUUUGUUCAUUCGUAAGGAUUUAGUAGUUUCUCGAAACAAUGGUGAUGAUUGGUUCGACUAUGUCUUUAAAAAUUUAGAUGUAGAUGAUUAGAUGUAGAUAAAUCGGUUGUAACUGUAAAGUUGUUACUGUAGACUUUUUCUGCAGAGACGUUUGUUGUAGUUAAAUUUGUUGUAGCUGUAAGCUGUAGGCUGUAGAUAUUUUAAAAUAAAAUAUAUAAAAUAUGUGUGUAGGGUUUUUGCCUAAAAUACAUAAGAUAAAGUUUUGUUUUAUUUUUUUUGAUGUAGCUUUAAAAAUAAAGCUAAAGCAUGAUUGAUAAAACUAAAUAAAAACUUGAUGUAGACUUUAAUUUUUAAAAGUAAAGCUACAACAUGAUUGAUAAAAUUUAGUGAUUUAAAAAUAAAUAAAGUUAAAGUAGAGAGAUAAAGUUCAACCAAUCACUCCCGAUAAAUACUACGCCCUUUUAUAUAUGUUUUAGAACUUUUUAAGAAAUUAUCUAUGCAAACUGUAUACUCCUUUUUUUAAUGAAUGUUUGUAACAUGCAGCAGUCUUUUCUAUUGAUUGGAUUUUUUUGUAGGUAUUACUUCACUGUAGAAACUUUAUCACGUAUGGCUUCGUAAUUUCAACGCUUUUAACCAAAAAGUCUUAAUAAAGAAAACAUAUGCAAUUGCUUAAUAGAAGAACAACAUUGUAAUCUGUAUCACAAUUCACACUAUUAGUAUAUAUUUCGUGGUAAUUUAAUAUUUGAUCUCGUAACAAUAGUAGACGGAUACUACUCGCAGUUUAUGGAAAAUGAUGUUGGUUUGAGCUAAGUUUUGGACUUUUAAUACAAAGAUUUCUAACGUUGAUAAGGAAGAAUUAUCCAUCUUUAUAAUAUUAUCCGAGAAAUCAGUUUUUAAAUGGCGUAUUCACUUUAGUUUUUAUGACAGUUAAAUAUAGAAAUAUCAUUAAUGAAUUAAAAAUUCAUUUAAAUACCAGUACUAAAUUUUAAUUUAAUGAUAUAUUUUAAUUAGAUUUUAAGUUUAGUUUCCGUUUUAUUUUUUCUAAGAACAUUUAUACUAAUAAAGUUGUUUUUUUUUCCUUCUUAGAAUGCCACAUCAUCAGUUAGAAGGGGGCAAAUGCUGACACGUCAGUUUCUCUAUCUGAAAACGCAAAUGUUUCGUCUCUUCGAGAAUUUCUUAAUGGGCCAGUUAUUAUAGCUACUACACGACACUAAACUUAGUCUCAACGUUAUAAUUGCAUGUUUGACCAUUUUGUAAACGAUAGGCUACUAGGUGAAUUUAAUUAUAACGAGAAGCCCAUCUACGUUUUGUAGUCUUAUUCUUCCUGAACCUUUUGUUGUCUAACCGAAGAAGAACGCAGAGUGACGAUUGAAAAUUAUUUCCUUCGAUUUUCAAAGACAAGUAACGCCUUCCUAUAGCAUUCAAUUGCUCCCUGUAAUGAUUGCAAUAACAACCAUUAAACCACUCUCUCCACUCCUUCGUAUUGAUUUCAUUAUACAUCCAUGGUAACGCCAGAAUGUCUAAAACCUAGGGUUAUAAAUACGCUGGAGGCAGGACAUGUCAAUAAUCUCUCCCAAAAAAACAUUCUAAACUUUUGAAUCCAAGCUCACCUACCUCCGAUGGCCACCUCACGUAUCAUUCUCAAUAAUUAGAAAGCCGGGCGUUGCUCUAACAAAGCGGAGAUCCGUAUGCUCUGAAUCUGGGAAGCCCGUAACGUCAAGAAAGGAGGUAUAAAAAGUGGGAUUCAAUCCGCUGACAUAUGAGGUAUUUGCUCUCCACUGCGAUGUUAGUAUAUCAAUCCAUCCAAUUGGUUAAUCUAAAGUUUGUCACCAAGGUCAACAAUUUACUUUCAUUCUUUGCCGUUUGUAUAUUAUGAGUUAAACAAAUGAAGGGAUAUGAUCAACUCAUUCAGUUUUGAUUAUAAUGUAUAUUAAGAACUUUAGUGCAUUUCAGCAAAAGUUGACUAUGGAAGAUCAAAACAAGCCCUUCACUACAACCAGAGGCCAUGCCGGCCAGAUUGUGGGAAGAAAAAACUCAGAAAAAGUAAGAAUGAGGAAAAAGAAGGGCUCACUGGUUACUGGUACUUUCCAAAACCAGAUCUUCCAGAAAUAAUACUCGCCCAAGAAUACUUUGAUAGCAGCCGAGCUUCUUAGCCGGAGAUAAUGUUUCAGUCAUUGGCCAAAGAUGGAACUAUCCAAGUAAUGAAAAAAUCAUAGACUUUGUUCAGGAAAGUAUAUGCUAUGCUAAUCAGAUAAAUACAUAAUUUAGUUUCAUGCGAGGCAUUUUUAAAACUUCAUUGAUAACAUAUUUCAGGCUUACCUUACUGUAAAAUGAUUUUAGCUAUUGUGUGAUAUAUGUUACAGAUAACCGAUCAUGUGGAGAUUGAGAUAAAGGUUAUGAUUAUUGUCUACGAAUCUCAGAGAUAGCUUAAGCAGAACGUAGGUGAGAAAAUCAAAUAUUCACGGCUCUUCAUCAGCCAGGAAUGGCAAAUACGACCAGCCUUUUUCUUGAUUCAGCCCACUGAUGUAUGUUUGGGUGAUUGCAAAAUUACCAGUGUAAACAUUUCAACUGACCCCACAUAUUAUGUUUUCCCACUUGAAACAAAUGAACUCGAUAUAGUUGCCACAUGAGAAAAUAAUUUAAAAUUCAGACCUCUCUA
Molecule: long non-coding RNA, 4511 nt
Organism: Brassica napus (rape)
Lineage: Eukaryota; Viridiplantae; Streptophyta; Magnoliopsida; Brassicales; Brassicaceae
Exons: 3
Source: RefSeq, a predicted model, not a curated record